Molecule: long non-coding RNA, 268 nt
Filed under: Lathyrus oleraceus (garden pea)
Lineage: Eukaryota; Viridiplantae; Streptophyta; Magnoliopsida; Fabales; Fabaceae
Description: Pisum sativum (pea) long non-coding RNA (PSAT_LNC036235)
Source: RNAcentral
AAAAGAUAAGAAGAGAAUUGGGUAAGAGAGAAUGAAAGGGUUAUCAGAAAGAAAGAAAAGAAGAAAGGGUAGAGUAGAGAAGAGGAAAGGAAAAGAAAGAAGAAGAGAGAAAGAAGGAAGAGAAAGAGGAAGGAAGAAGAUGGGAAUGAAAGGGUUAUCAGAAAGAAAGAAAAGAAGAAAGGGUAGAGUAGAGAAGAGGAAAGGAAAAGAAAGAAGAAGAGAGAAAGAAGGAAGAGAAAGAGGAAGGAAGAAGAUGGGAAAUCAUGUU